RNAcentral lists this long non-coding RNA (220 nucleotides) under Lupinus angustifolius (narrow-leaved blue lupine). Its description in RNAcentral is "long non-coding RNA (LANG_LNC001263)". The record is from RNAcentral. Lineage: Eukaryota; Viridiplantae; Streptophyta; Magnoliopsida; Fabales; Fabaceae.
UUGAUAUAUGAGAUGAAUCACAUUGUAUUAAGAUAUUUUUCACUCCGAAAUCCAAGUUUCGACGUUCUAAAUGUUACCCUAAAUCGGGAUAUUAAUAAUCUUCGGUAGAGUUUUAACCGACAAUAUUCGGGCAUGAUUUUAAUCACGAUGUUUCAUCGCGUUAGUCACAUCACCCAUUCAUUUAUUUAAAAAAAUUAUUAUAACACUUUUUUUAUUUAAG